GACGAACGCUGGCGGCGUGCUUAACACAUGCAAGUCGAACGGAAAGGCCCUGCUUUUGUGGGGUGCUCGAGUGGCGAACGGGUGAGUAACACGUGAGUAACCUGCCCUUGACUUUGGGAUAACUUCAGGAAACUGGGGCUAAUACCGGCUAGGAGCUCCUGCUGCAUGGUGGGGGUUGGUAAGUUUCGGCGGUUGGGGAUGGACUCGCGGCUUAUCAGCUUGUUGGUGUGGUAGUGGCUUACCAAGGCUUUGACGGGUAGCCGGCCUGAGAGGGGGACCAGCCACAUUAGGACUGAGAUACGGCCCAGACUCCUACGGGAGGCAACAGUGGAGAAUAUUGCACAAUGGGAGGAAGCCUGAUGCAGCAACGCCGCGUGCGGGAUGACGGCCUUCGGGUUGUAAACCACUUUCGCCUGUGACGAAGCGUGAGUGACGGUAAUGGGUAAAGAAGCACCGGCUAACUACGUG
RNAcentral lists this ribosomal RNA (468 nucleotides) under uncultured bacterium. RNAcentral describes it as "partial 16S ribosomal RNA". It matches the Rfam family "Bacterial small subunit ribosomal RNA", at positions 28 to 507 of the family's 1533-position model. The record is from RNAcentral.